Long non-coding RNA from Clupea harengus (Atlantic herring), 605 nucleotides. RefSeq lists it as uncharacterized. Lineage: Eukaryota; Metazoa; Chordata; Actinopteri; Clupeiformes; Clupeidae. The transcript is spliced from 3 exons. The record is from RefSeq and is a predicted model, not a curated record.
GCAGGAUAGUAUGUCGCUGGGUUUCCACAUUCUACUCUCCGUUCUACUGCUGACACAAGGUGUGUAUAGUUCACGGAAGCUUCCGGGUAGCAUGCCGUUCGCUACUGAAGGUCCUGGUGGAAAGACACCGAGUGAGCACACCCGCGGUGGCAAAUAGGAAGACAGAUCGAGGUUGGUUGGGAGACGACAGGAAGUCCUACUUCCAGUGUUUGUGUUGUCCGUGAUGCAUAAAGGUUUUCACCGAGGCUUCUAUGGCUAAAAGUGGGCACGUCUAACCGCAAGCAAAAAUGUGUGGCUAGAUACUUCCAUGCCACUGUUGUGGAAGAGGGAGGUGUGUAAUGUACUUUCUUUGUUAUUGAAGUGCUCAUGACAGCAGUUGAACAUGUGGAUUAGGCCAAAAACACAAAGAUCGUCUCCAUAUAUGUUAAGGGUGUGUCCCAAUAUGAUUAGAAGCGACAGAGGGAAGGAGAACUUUGUUGUCGGCCAAAUGCAAAUCGCAUAUCAGGUGCGGCAACUUGGAGAGCAAGCAUGGCAAGCCUUCAGAAUGGGGACAUCAGUGCACAACCAGGUAGUGGUUUUUUUUUUUUUUUUUUUUUUUUUUUUUU